GACGAACGCUGGCGGCGUGCUUAACACAUGCAAGUCGAACGAUGAAGCUAGAGCUUGCUCUGGUGGAUUAGUGGCGAACGGGUGAGUAACACGUGAGUAACCUGCCCCGAACUCUGGGAUAACUGCUGGAAACGGUAGCUAAUACCGGAUAUGACCAAUGAAGGCAUCUUCUGUUGGUGGAAAGAAUUUCGGUUCGGGAUGGACUCGCGGCCUAUCAGCUUGUUGGUGAGGUAACGGCUCACCAAGGCGACGACGGGUAGCCGGCCGGAGAGGGCGAUCGGCCACACUGGGACUGAGACACGGCCCAGACUCCUACGGGAGGCAGCAGUGGGGAAUAUUGCACAAUGGGCGCAAGCCUGAUGCAGCAACGCCGCGUGAGGGACGACGGCCUUCGGGUUGUAAACCUCUUUUAGUAGGGAAGAAGCGAAAGUGACGGUACCUGCAGAAAAAGCACCGGCUAACUACGUGCCAGCCGCCGCCGUAA
RNAcentral lists this ribosomal RNA (484 nucleotides) under uncultured bacterium. RNAcentral describes it as "partial 16S ribosomal RNA". It matches the Rfam family "Bacterial small subunit ribosomal RNA", at positions 28 to 523 of the family's 1533-position model. The record is from RNAcentral.